RNAcentral lists this long non-coding RNA (648 nucleotides) under Triticum aestivum (bread wheat). RNAcentral's name for it is "long non-coding RNA (TAES_LNC006942)". The record is from RNAcentral. Lineage: Eukaryota; Viridiplantae; Streptophyta; Magnoliopsida; Poales; Poaceae.
UAGUUUUAUUUCCAUUAACAAUAUGCACAGUCAGCUCGCAUCACACACAAACAUUUGGGUAUGUGUCCUUGAACAAUAAAACGAAACUUCCGAAAAAUGUUGGCAUACUUUUUCUCUCCUUUGGUACAUGUGCCGCACUACUCGUUGAUGCAAUCCGCACUGCAAGACAUAGACCAAAUAAAAGUUAACCGGGGCACAAUUUUUGCAGAAAGUUAACUCAUGUACAAUUUUCUUUUACAAAGUGAACUCCUCUAUACUAUGCUAUAACCAUUUGAAAGUAAACUAAGGACUGCAUGCAAGAACAACUAAACUGAUGCUAAAUGUAAAUGUGUCCCGCACAACAAUGAACAUUUUUUUGCCCAAAUAAACUUAACUUAUUAUAUAUUUUUCGCAAAAAGAAUUGUCUUGCUUCUACAAAAAAAACACACCAACAGUGGAAAUUCUUAACAACAACGAUGGCUAGAGGACCUGGCAAAAAUGGAGUAAUGCACACAACGGAGCUGAAACUGAACCUAACUUUUUGCACCGCACGCACUGAACAUUUGUUCCAAAAUCAAGCACCGCUGUAUCGCAGAGUGCACUGCAUCAACACAUGCCACCAUAGAGAUAAAAUAAACUGCAGAAAUAGCACGAAGUGAAAGCAAAUAC